UGCGUAGGCGGAUUAAUAAGUCAGUGGUGAAAUCUCUCGGCUCAACCGGGAAACUGCCAUUGAUACUGUUAAUCUUGAGUUCGGUUGAGGUAGGCGGAAUGUGUAAUGUAGCGGUGAAAUGCUUAGAUAUUACACAGAACACCAAUUGCGUAGGCAGCUUACUAGACCGACACUGACGCUGAGGCACGAAAGCGUGGGUAGCGAACAGGAUUAGAUACCUGGUAGUCC
This 228-nucleotide ribosomal RNA is filed under the name uncultured bacterium. Its description in RNAcentral is "partial 16S ribosomal RNA". It matches the Rfam family "Bacterial small subunit ribosomal RNA", at positions 568 to 796 of the family's 1533-position model. The record is from RNAcentral.